This 253-nucleotide ribosomal RNA is filed under the name uncultured bacterium. Its description in RNAcentral is "partial 16S ribosomal RNA". It matches the Rfam family "Bacterial small subunit ribosomal RNA", at positions 524 to 776 of the family's 1533-position model. The record is from RNAcentral.
UACGUAGGGUGCGAGCGUUGUCCGGAAUUAUUGGGCGUAAAGAGCGCGCAGGCGGCUUGGUAAGUCGGAUGUGAAAUCCCGAGGCUCAACCUCGGGUCUGCAUCCGAUACUGCCCGGCUAGAGGUAGGUAGGGGAGAUCGGAAUUCCUGGUGUAGCGGUGAAAUGCGCAGAUAUCAGGAGGAACACCGAUGGCGAAGGCAGGUCUCUGGGCAUUAACUGACGCUGAGGAGCGAAAGCAUGGGGAGCGAACAGG